Molecule: ribosomal RNA, 497 nt
Filed under: uncultured bacterium
Lineage: Bacteria
Description: partial 16S ribosomal RNA
Rfam family: Bacterial small subunit ribosomal RNA
Source: RNAcentral
GAUGAACGCUGGCGGCGUGCCUAAUACAUGCAAGUCGAGCGAACAGACGAGGAGCUUGCUCCUCUGACGUUAGCGGCGGACGGGUGAGUAACACGUGGAUAACCUACCUAUAAGACUGGGAUAACUUCGGGAAACCGUAGCUAAUACCGGAUAAUAUAUUGAACCGCAUGGUUCAAUAGUGAAAGACGGUUUUGCUGUCACUUAUAGAUGGAUCCGCGCCGCAUUAGCUAGUUGGUAAGGUAACGGCUUACCAAGGCAACGAUGCGUAGCCGACCUGAGAGGGUGAUCGGCCACACUGGAACUGAGACACGGUCCAGACUCCUACGGGAGGCAGCAGUAGGGAAUCUUCCGCAAUGGGCGAAAGCCUGACGGAGCAACGCCGCGUGAGUGAUGAAGGUCUUCGGAUCGUAAAACUCUGUUAUUAGGGAAGAACAAAUGUGUAAGUAACUAUGCACGUCUUGACGGUACCUAAUCAGAAAGCCACGGUUAACUACGUG